AACCUUAACACCCAAGCGUAGUGCUGGGAGAUGAGGCCCUUGGAAGGUGAUUUGUUUGUGAAGAUAAAGCCCUCACAAAUGGGCAGCCUCCGUGGGAGAAGACAAAGAACUGUGGUCCCGUUCCCUGGGCCUUCCUUCUGUAAGAAGUUUCUACAAACUCCAUGUCUUUGAACAGCAGAAACAGUCUCUCUCACACCCAGAGGCCAGACAUUCAGUCUUACGUGCUGUCGGGAACAUGCCCUACCCCAUCUCCACAGCUGUGUGGGAUGAUGCUUCCGUGAGUCCUCCCAGCUGCAGGUUUCCUUGGUUGUGGCAUGUAUGUGUGGCCUUCUGCCUCUCCCCAGGUUCUCUGGUGUCAUCCAUUUCUUCCUAAACCUGAGCCCAUUCUAACUCUGAAUGACUCAUCUGAAGAUCAUUGACUUUGUUGUGUCUACAGAGACCCUUCUUCCCAAUAAGGUCACACUUGUAGUUUCUACAGGGUCUAGAACCUGCUCACAUCCUCCAAGGAGCCCUGCUUAGCCCAGUGUAAGACAAGAGGACAGACAAGCAAUUAGCAUAGCAACUUACCAGAAUGAAAUCCCCAAUGGCUAAUCAAUAAAAGUAUUAAAUGCAUGGA
Molecule: long non-coding RNA, 616 nt
Organism: Mastomys coucha (southern multimammate mouse)
Lineage: Eukaryota; Metazoa; Chordata; Mammalia; Rodentia; Muridae
Exons: 2
Source: RefSeq, a predicted model, not a curated record